RNAcentral lists this ribosomal RNA (472 nucleotides) under uncultured bacterium. Its description in RNAcentral is "bacterial SSU rRNA". It matches the Rfam family "Bacterial small subunit ribosomal RNA", at positions 339 to 800 of the family's 1533-position model. The record is from RNAcentral.
CUACGGGAGGCAGCAGUGGGGAAUAUUGGACAAUGGGCGAAAGCCUGAUCCAGCCAUGCCGCGUGUGUGAAGAAGGUCUUCGGAUUGUAAAGCACUUUAAGUUGGGAGGAAGGGCAGUAAGUUAAUACCUUGCUGUUUUGACGUUACCAACAGAAUAAGCACCGGCUAACUUCGUGCCAGCAGCCGCGGUAAUACGAAGGGUGCAAGCGUUAAUCGGAAUUACUGGGCGUAAAGCGCGCGUAGGUGGUUCAGCAAGUUGGAGGUGAAAUCCCCGGGCUCAACCUGGGAACUNCCUCCAAAACUACUGGGCUAGAGUACGGUAGAGGGUAGUGGAAUUUCCUGUGUAGCGGUGAAAUGCGUAGAUAUAGGAAGGAACACCAGUGGCGAAGGCGACUACCUGGACUGAUACUGACACUGAGGUGCGAAAGCGUGGGGAGCAAACACGGAUUAUGAUACCCUGGUAGUAUCACGC